CUACGGGAGGCAGCAGUGAGGAAUAUUGCACAAUGGGGGGAACCCUGAUGCAGCAACGCCGCGUGGAGGAUGACGCAUUUCGGUGUGUAAACUCCUUUUAUAUGUCAAGAAAAUGACGGUAGCAUAUGAAUAAGCACCGGCUAACUCCGUGCCAGCAGCCGCGGUAAUACGGAGGGUGCAAGCGUUACUCGGAAUCACUGGGCGUAAAGGACGCGUAGGCGGGUUGGAAAGUCAGGUGUGAAAUCCUAUAGCUUAACUGUAGAACUGCACUUGAAACUUCUAGUCUAGAGUAUGGGAGGGGGAGAUGGAAUUAGUGGUGUAGGGGUAAAAUCCGUAGAUAUCACUAGGAAUACCUAAAGCGAAGGCGAUCUCCUGGAACAUUACUGACGCUAAGGCGUGAAAGCGUGGGGAGCAAACAGGAUUAGAUACCCCCGUAGUC
Molecule: ribosomal RNA, 439 nt
Filed under: uncultured bacterium
Lineage: Bacteria
Description: partial 16S ribosomal RNA
Rfam family: Bacterial small subunit ribosomal RNA
Source: RNAcentral